This 243-nucleotide long non-coding RNA is filed under the name Malus domestica (apple). RNAcentral's name for it is "long non-coding RNA (MDOM_LNC016299)". The record is from RNAcentral. Lineage: Eukaryota; Viridiplantae; Streptophyta; Magnoliopsida; Rosales; Rosaceae.
CAACUUUAAGAAAAACUGGCGGCAAGAAAAGAAAAUAGUUUUGGAAAAAUCAUAUGUAAAAUGCAUUAGGGUUUAGUCAUCAUCAUUAACAAUCAUAUAUAGUUAUACCAAUUAUUUAUAAUGUUGGAAAAUAUUAGUAUUUAUAGUUAUUUGAUUAUUUGAGUUUGUUUGUUAAUUAGUAUAUGAGCUUAACCCAUCCGAAUUAGGGUUUCUAGGUUUUGCUCUAUAUAAAUAUAGCUUAUA